Molecule: ribosomal RNA, 253 nt
Filed under: uncultured bacterium
Lineage: Bacteria
Description: partial 16S ribosomal RNA
Rfam family: Bacterial small subunit ribosomal RNA
Source: RNAcentral
UACGAAGGGUGCUAGCGUUACUCGGAAUUACUGGGCGUAAAGCGUGCGUAGGUGGUUUCUUAAGUCUGCUGUGAAAGCCCCGGGCUCAACCUGGGAAUUGCAGUGGAUACUGGGGAGCUAGAGUGCGGUAGAGGGUAGUGAAAUUCCCGGUGUAGCGGUGAAAUGCGUAGAGAUCGGGAGGAACACCAGUGGCGAAGGCGGCUACCUGGACCAGCACUGACACUGAGGCACGAAAGCGUGGGGAGCAAACGGG